UAAACAAGGUCACUUCAUGAGCAAUACACAGAACGGCUAACUGACUCAGCCCCUCUUCCUAGCCACCACCUUUCUGUCAGUUGGGAAGAUUAAGUGGUGGCAGAACAAGUCACAAGUGAGAUGAUAAAACCAGAGAUUAAACAACUGCCCUGAGGGACAGACAGCUGCUUGGAAGGCGUGGAUUAGAAGACACCAGCCAGCCACUGCUACUAUCCCUACUGCUCUCCAACACACUUUCUUCAGGCCAAACUUAUUCUAAUUAGAGGAUGCCUCAGCAGAACAAGGAAGCCUUUGGCACUGAAUUUCCACCUUGGCAAGAAACCAGAGUAAGAAACCAGGGGCCCUCCUCAGCCCAUGCGGACCAAGCCCAUCCAAAGCAAACAGUUCCCAUAACUGUUGACGGUAGAACAAGCUUCUUCCUUUAAACAGGACGACUGUGGAAAAUCACCCAGCCAGACAUUGCUUGUUAUUUUAACACUUCUGAAAUUGAGGGAGGAGGCCAUCCUAGCCAAGAGAUCCAGCCCUAUUCAAGUGGGAAAUGCACAAAUUGGGAGGCGCAUCAAAUGUCCGAUCAGAAGCUGUAAAGAUUUCACUGUUUCUCUAAAAGCACGCUUUUAUAUAAUUACUUAAACAGUGACUAUGUUUCAUACCUCCGCCUAAACAGUACCUCCUGGCCCAGCUUUGAAAUUCUUCCUGCUUUUCUGUGACACUGUCCAGAGGAAUUUCGUAAUUUGCCUGUGUUCCUCUGGUCUGAUAUUGGCAAGACCAUGGAAAGACGUUGGUGAGUUGCCUCCCAGUCAUCGGCUUCCGCUGCUGGAUUAUUCUAGCUUUCUAGUUAUAAAUAAGGACGAUUACGUUAUCACUGAAAUACUCUGAGACAACCAGUAAUGUAUGCUAAAUUAUUGAAGAAAUUAUUUGCAAGUAUGUACAGGCCCAAGGACGAAAUUUGGUGAGCUAAAUCAAGGCAUCUGGAUGAUAAGCAGGUUAGUUGACAGUUUUCUAAACCAAGGUCAGUGUAAGAACUAUGGCGUAGGCCAGUACAUGAGUGAUUUGAAUGAAGCUACGUGGAUUUGAACUGUUCUCUUUCUUCCAGUUUCCCAGCUGUCAGGCUUCCCUGAUAAAGCUUGCUUGAGCCUUUACUGCUUUAAAUUCUGAAAUGACUAGGCCAAUUAAAAUAAUAGAUGGUAUUAAAUGUAUUGGGAAUAGCAAAACAAUGUUCAAUUCUUAUUGGUAAUGGAACUUAUUCUAGAAAUGGAAAGGAAAGAGAAAAAUCACCCACUUAAAUCUCCAUGUUGCAACACUAAUAAAAGGAGGUAGGAGGGAGGCAGCCUGGCACAGCAAUCUUUAACAGGACCUUACUUAACUUACGUUUAAAAUAAAGUAGGUAUUCAUUCAGAUGACUUACAGGGGCUAAUUCAUGGUUAUCCAAGAUCUGACAACUAGUGAUCCAGGAAAAAGGAAUGGUCAUGAGAACCCUGGCUUUACCCUUGCUUGUGUGCGGCUAACAAGGAGAAGUGGGCAUCAUCUGCCUCUCUUUACCCUGAAGUGAAUGGGUGACAGUGGACAUCACUUCUGCUGUCAGACUGGCGAAUGUGCUGGCAUGUGCCAGUGGCAGCUGCACGUGCCUCCAGAAAACUCUCCCUCUCUCCACAGAUCAGCUUUUGUAUUCCUAAUCCUGGGAAUCAGGGUGGCAUGUAUGGAACUACAACCUCUGCUCUAUCAGUCUGGGAAAUAAACAGCACUAAUUCCAGGCCCAGAGCUAA
Molecule: long non-coding RNA, 1763 nt
Organism: Microcebus murinus (gray mouse lemur)
Lineage: Eukaryota; Metazoa; Chordata; Mammalia; Primates; Cheirogaleidae
Source: RefSeq, a predicted model, not a curated record